Molecule: long non-coding RNA, 1685 nt
Organism: Bos taurus (domestic cattle)
Lineage: Eukaryota; Metazoa; Chordata; Mammalia; Artiodactyla; Bovidae
Source: Ensembl
GUCAGAGUUCAGCCGUUCUCGCACAAAUGGGAAAACGGAGUGCUCUCUACUCCCGUCCCACCCACGCCAAAAAAAAAGGGCCAGACUUGCCCAAGGUCUCCUAAGGAGUGGAGACCAGAGGCGGGGCCUGCUGCUCCCUGCCCAGCCCGCUCUCCCACCGCUAGCGUUCCCUCCCCGUUCCAGGCCAGGUCGUGGGAGGCGGAGGUUGGGGAGGAGGCAGCAUCCUGCCCGGGUGCGUCAGGAAGGGCCGAGCGGGAAGGAAGGCACCACCCCCACCCCCGCCGCGGCCACACCUGGGCUCUCCAGGCGGGCAUGGGGGCCCAGGCCGGCGCCUGGCUCCAGCGAGUCUGGGCCGCCUCCCCGUGGGGGCCGCCAGAUGGGCCGGCCGCCCGCCCGCCCAGCUACGCGGGCAGGAAACAGCCGCCAAGGCUGCCAGGAAGGCGGGCGCGAGCGGUGGGGCGGGGCCCACAGUGGGCCCGCCCCCCGAGGGGAGGGCCGGGAAGGCCGAGACCUUGUGAGCCUGGGAAUCCCGGCUCUGCCGCCUGCCAUGUUUCCUUAGGCAAGUCUGUUUCCGUCUCCGUGCCCCAGCUUCCCCAAUAGUAAAGUGUCAUCUCCUGUAAUACCCAGACAGCCUCCAACCUCUUUGUCAUUUUAAGGCAGACCAGACUAUGGAAAUGAUGUUAGACAAAAAGCAAAUCUGAGCAAUUUUCUUACUUGAAUACAAAAUGGGUCGUAAAGCAGCAGAGACAAUUGGCAACAUCAACAACACAUCUGGCCCAGGAAUGCACAGUGCAAUGGUGAUUCAAGAAGUUUUGCAAAGGAGAUGAGAGGCUUGAAGAUGAGGAGUGCAGUGGCUGGCCAUCGGAAGGUGACAACAACCAAUUGAGAGCAGUCACUGAGGCUGAUCCUCUUACAACUACACCAAAAGUUGCCAAAGAACUCAGUGUCAGCUAUUCUACAGUUGUUCGGCAUUUAAAGUAAAUUGGAAAGGUGAAAAGGCUUGGUAAGUGGGUGCCUCAUGAGCUGACUGCAAAUCAAAAAUAUCGUCAUGUUGAAGUGUCAUCUUUUCUUAUUCUAUGCAACAACAACCAACCAUUUCUCAAUUGGGAUUGUGACCUGCAAUGAAAAGUGAACUGCAUACAACAACCAGCAAUGACCAGCUCAGUGGUUGGAGUGAGAAGAAGCUCCAAAGCACUUACCAAAGCCAAACUUGCGCCAAAAAAAGGUCAUGGUCACUGUUUGGUGGCCUGCUGCUGGUCUGAUCCACUGCAGCUUUCUGAAUCCUGGUGAAACCAUUAUAUCUGAGAAGUAUGCUCAGCAAAUCAGUGAAAUCACCAAAAACUGCAGCCGGUAUCAGUCAACAGAAAGGGCCUGACGAAAGGUCGCACAACCAAAAGUUGAAGGAAUCGGGCUACGAUGUUUCGCCUCAUCCGCCAUAUUCACCUGACCUCGGCCAACCAACUACUACUUCUUCAAUCAUCUUGACAACUUUUUGCAGGAAAAACACUUCCACAACCAGCAGGAUACAGAAAAUGCUUUCCAAGAGUUCGUUGAUUUCUGAAGCAUUGAUUUUUAUGCUACAGGAGUAAGCAAACUUAUUUCUAGUUGGCAAAAAUGUGUUGAUUGUAAAGGUUCCUGUUUUGAUUAAUAAAGAUGUGUUUGAGCCUAGUUAUAAUGACUUAAAA